Molecule: transfer RNA, 77 nt
Filed under: Verrucomicrobiota bacterium
Lineage: Bacteria; Pseudomonadati; Verrucomicrobiota
Description: Verrucomicrobia bacterium (microbial mat metagenome) tRNA-Val
Rfam family: tRNA
About the family: Transfer RNA (tRNA) molecules are approximately 80 nucleotides in length. Their secondary structure includes four short double-helical elements and three loops (D, anti-codon, and T loops). Further hydrogen bonds mediate the characteristic L-shaped molecular structure. tRNAs have two regions of fundamental functional importance: the anti-codon, which is responsible for specific mRNA codon recognition, and the 3' end, to which the tRNAs corresponding amino acid is attached (by aminoacyl-tRNA synthetases). tRNAs cope with the degeneracy of the genetic code in two manners: having more than one tRNA (with a specific anti-codon) for a particular amino acid; and 'wobble' base-pairing, i.e. permitting non-standard base-pairing at the 3rd anti-codon position.
Source: RNAcentral
GGGCGGCUAGCUCAGUUGGUUAGAGCACUUGGUUUACACCCAUGGGGUCGGGGGUUCGAGUCCCUCGCCGCCUACCA